UGGUGGAGUGAUUUGUCUGGUUAAUUCCGUUAACGAUCAAGACCCCUGCCUGCUAAAUAGUCCAAUGAGUAUUUUUUACUUGAUUGAUGACUGCUUAGAGGGAUGUGCAUUCUAUUAGAUGCAGGAGGAUAGGGGCAAUAACA
RNAcentral lists this ribosomal RNA (143 nucleotides) under uncultured eukaryote. RNAcentral describes it as "partial 18S ribosomal RNA". It matches the Rfam family "Eukaryotic small subunit ribosomal RNA", at positions 1299 to 1458 of the family's 1831-position model. The record is from RNAcentral.